Molecule: long non-coding RNA, 1468 nt
Organism: Oreochromis niloticus (Nile tilapia)
Lineage: Eukaryota; Metazoa; Chordata; Actinopteri; Cichliformes; Cichlidae
Exons: 3
Source: RefSeq, a predicted model, not a curated record
GCCAGCUAUUAAAAUGGUCAUCACCAGACCAAGGCUCAAUCGAGUCAUGGAAGGAGGAAUCAGAAAUAAACUGCACAACGACUUGGCUGGUGACCCACUUCACAUCUCCUUGCUAAACACUGGAGAAUCAUGCGAAGACUUUGAUGUAACAGAUUGACCUCUAACAGCAACCAUGGGCAUCAGUGAUGAGAAAACCUGUGUUGAGACAGCAUUGGCUGAACCCCACAGAGUGUGUGCAUGUCUGCAGUGAGGAUGAACUCUUCCACCUUGAAAGCACAGAUGACAUGGCAAAUAAGAUUGAGACAGCAACAGGAGAACAGGCAGCCGACCAGGAGUGGCAUCAGCUCCACAGGCCAAGAUUACAUCUUCAUGUUUAAGAGGUUUGUUAUAUGAGGGGUGAAACUGUGCAGAGAGAAUCCUCAAAGGAACGAGACAGACUGCAGACGUGAGCACAGGGACAGACAUGGAGUUUAACGCAGCUGGAGAAAACUGCAAAUUGAAAAACUUUAACUAUAGGCCUCAUGGCCUCGUUGUCCACCCUGACGCUCCCUGGCUUGGUUCCUCACCAGAUGGGUUGAUCUUUGAUCCAUCUGCACAGCCACCGUUUGGACUGCUUGAGAUAAGGUGUCUUUAUGUGAGGAAUUAUGUUCACUUCAGAUACCUUCAACUAAGAAUGGCGCCCUGUCUCUCUGUAAAAGUCAUUUGUAACGACUAUGUUGACACUAAGUUAACAGCAGCAUCAGAGAGAGGGCGUGGACUGGUGUUACUUUCAUGUUCACACGUUGAUGCACUUCUCUCUUAAAAAUAAUUUGAAUUCUAUUGUGUGGUCUUAAAAGAGUACAGGUGAUUUAAAGAUGCCAAGUUAAAUGUUCAGUAUGUUGGUCACACCACACACAUGCACUCUCCAGUUUCUUCUUCUCAUCUAAUGCAAUCUUAAUGGUAAAUCAACAGGGUGCUUGGUUGCAUAAUUAGCUGUGCAUAUGUUGAAAUAAAUGUAGGUUUUCUUUAUUCUUGGCAGGAAAAACAUAUAUCCAAGUGUAAAUCAGUGCAAUUCAUAAAUGUGAUUAUGUAAACAUUACUAAAAUAGCCAAAGCAUAGUUCCAAUAUUUACAUUUGAGGGGCUACAAUCACUAAAAUCUGAAUUUCAUUAAAACCAUUUUUUACAUUUACUUGUUAAAAAUUGUUGUUUGUUAUCAAUAAUUAGAGCUCUAAUCAUUUACAUCAUAUAUAAUCUACCUGAACCAAUAUAAAACUAUUUACUAUAAAAAAUAGUGCAGUUACAAGCACUGGUCUGAGCGGUGCAGCUUUUUAAAACAUUUUGUUGAAUUCAAUCAGUGGAAUAAAUACAAGACUACAGCUGCUGCAGAGGAUCUCGUAGCUUUAGUAUAUGAGGUGCCCUAUCUACCAGAUGAGCAAUCUGAAAAGUGUCUGAAAAGGGCUGGGAAAAUCAUCAGAGACCCCAGUCACC